GCGUGUAUGACCAGUGUGCCACCGGGGGAGACGGAGGGCAGUUGUGCAGGAGCCUGGAGGCCUAUGCCGCUGCAUGCGAACUGAACGGGGCCGACCUCGGGGACUGGGAAAAGGACACCGCCUGUGAACCGACACCUAAACCCACGGAGCCCACUACUCCAGAACCGACACCUACACCCACGGAGCCCACUACUCCAGAACCGACACCUACACCCACGGAGCCCACUACUCCAG
Thamnophis elegans (Western terrestrial garter snake) is the source of this 234-nucleotide long non-coding RNA. RefSeq lists it as uncharacterized. The record is from RefSeq and is a predicted model, not a curated record. Lineage: Eukaryota; Metazoa; Chordata; Lepidosauria; Squamata; Natricidae. The transcript has 4 exons.